Nerophis ophidion (straightnose pipefish) is the source of this 451-nucleotide long non-coding RNA. RefSeq lists it as uncharacterized. NCBI's taxonomy places the organism in Eukaryota, Metazoa, Chordata, Actinopteri, Syngnathiformes, Syngnathidae. The record is from RefSeq and is a predicted model, not a curated record. The transcript has 3 exons.
GCCGUGCUUGUUCAUGUGUUCUCACCUCCUGCUGCAUCCCCCGGGAUUCCAACGGAAAUGUGGCAUUCUUGCGUUUUGCUUGCUUCUUGCAUGAGUGGAGAACAUGAUGCUGCUGCCAAUACCGAGACUGCACUUAGAAUGCUGUGCCUACACUCUUCGUGAACUAGGUUUAACGCCGGUUUGGCAUCGGGGUACCGGGUUCGAUUCCCUCGAGGAUGCGUCAAACGAAGAACACAUAAAAGACGAUAGCGAUGCUACAACAAAAAUGGCAGAGAGAUGUGUGGAUAUCAUGCGACACUCAAAGCAGAUGCAUUUCCAACGAUAAAGUCAACGAAAUCACAAAGGUGAGUUUUGUUGAUGUUCUUGACUUAUGUGACAUAUUUGGUCACGGCAUGACUGUCAGCUAAUCGAUGCUAACAUGCUAUUUAGGCUAGCUGAAUGUACAUUUUUA